CUAUUCGUCCGUAUUGUAUAUCCGUACCGGUCUUACGGAACGGCCUGUAGAACGCGAGCGCGGCAAGAAACGGCUUCUAUUUCGUCUAUCCUCGUGUACAGUCGUGUAUAGUCGCGCGUACCGGCGAACUAAGCAACACAGUGCACGGCAUAAGUGAAAGUGAUUCAGCAGCGCAUGCCAGCGCGCGGGCUGCGCGCCGACCACGACGACGACGACGGGCAGCAGCAGCAGCAGCAGCCAGGUGCCUCUGGAGUAGUAGUGGUGUACGGCGGAGGUGACUUCGUCAUGAGGCUACACUACUAGAGGAUCGGGACGAGGAGGUGGACCAUGCUACGACGACGACGACAACGGCGGCGGCGAUGACGACCGACGCCACCACCGACGGCGCAGCAGUAGCUGUGUAUACGAUGACGAUCAUGAGAGGGAGAUCCGAAGUAGUGGGGAUGACCCACUUACGGAACCAGGUCUAUGUCGGCCGAGGAAAUAUUGUCCGUCUAUACGACGGAUUGCCAUCCGUUGGAGAGAACGAUACGCUUUUAUUUUUUUAUAAGAUUCCGUCCACGAGGCAUCAUACUUGCUCGUAAUCACUCUCGAAUGAGAUAUUGAAUGACUUUUUGUAUACGUCACGUAGAAGAGUUUUCAACUGUUAAACCGUUGCUGGGCAUUCGACGUGACGGAUGAUCUUUCUUGCGAGACUGGAUUAUCGAUACUGAAAUAUACGCCUGGGACUGGAUAGAUACUGGAAAUUCAUUCCAGGUAUAAUCGAGACGAAGACGCGGCAUUUAGAUUGAAAUAAAGCUCUUGACGCAACAUUCAUAAAUUAAUUCUCUCGAGUACUGUAGGACUGGUGCUCGAUGUUUGAACCAAGAUAGAAAAUUCGUUUAAAUGAAGACAUAUAUUUUCGGACGGGACUCUUGCUUUCGCGGAACAGUCAGGAGUCUGAUCUACGAUCAGGCAUGGCAAUCAGAGCAGUCAGGGCAGCCACAGGAACAGCACGCAGAGCACGCAGGAGGCCGCACAGGCCGUGGAUGGGUCAACAGCAACGCCGUUGGCACUCCCCGACAGCUAGUGCCUGGCUUUGUGUAUGCCGGAGUAGAUGUGCGGACAGAGCCUGGUGGGGGGACCCACUGACCCAGUUCGCUGAGAACAUGACGCAGCCGCGACUCACUCCCUCUCAUUAUCUCUCUUUCUGUCUUCUCUCUUUUAUACCCCUGGCUCAGUCUCUCUCUCUCUCUCUCUCUCUCUCUCUCUCUUUCUCUAUCUUCCCGCCUCUCACCGCUCGCUUCUUACCGCCUUGCACAUAUACGUUACACGUAUAUACAUUGCUCGUGCCGAUCUUCCACUCUUGUCCUACACGUAUCAGAAUCCGCAUAGUCUCUACUCUCUUACUCUCGCGGUAACCCAUCCGACACGGUCUUGUAUUCCUAUACUGCUAUUCCUUUCUCUCUCUCUUGCUUAUCUAUCGCGCGCUGCAGUCUCUCUUUUUCUUAUCUGUCCCAUACGACGCGUAGACUUGCACUUCUGCAAUUAUGGCGCGCGCGCAGAUGCAUAACGUAAUGUAUGAAAUGCAAGCGACUGGAAUGAUGUAUUUAGAAAAUUUUUUCAAAAAAAAAAAAUUUUUAGUUUAAAAAAUUUUUUUUCUUAUAUUUACCAGGAGUAUUGGUAUAAAAGAGGUUCGACUUUUUUUUUUAACUAUUCCUUCUUUCAGUUCGUGUAUGCUUGUGCUGCCCUCAGGUAUAUACCAAUUUUGCCAGGUAAAAUUAUGCCCGAACGAAAGGGUUACGACGUGGGAUUUCGCUUGUGGGAUGAGAGAAAAAUGAAAGAAAGAAAAAACAACGUCGUCAGUGAAUGGACGAAAGCGAGAAUAACGGAGAUCAGUGUCUGAACGAAAGCGAAGCCUGACCUACUGAAUUCUAAAUAUGCUGAAAGACGGCACGGACGAAAUUCCUACUGGCGCUGAAGAAACGUCCCGUUUGAACGACACGCAGGCACUACCCAGAUAAAGACUACGAGAGUCAGUGCAACAAUUAAUAACAAUUACGACCGACGUCGGUAUAUUGAUAUAUAUAUAUAUAUAUUACAACAAAAAUGCAUAAAAACGAUAUUUAAUAAUGCAAAACAUUUUUCAUCGUUGGCCAAGUAACCCGGAGCAACAAAAAUAAAUAAAAAUAAAACGUGCGCACUAAGGAUUAUCUCGACUAACUUUGUACGACAGUAAAACAUCGCGUUCCCAUCUCCGUGACAUUAUUAUGCAUGUAUAACGUAUACACUUAUCGCCUCGUUCGAAGUAUAUUUUUAUCACUGACCUACAUGAUGCUGGGCAAGUGUAUGAUACAAAAAAAAAAAAAAUAAAAAAGAAAAGUAAAAAUUUGUAAAGCCUAUUAAAAGCGUGAAAAAAAGUUCUUGUAAGACAUAACCUAAAAAUCCGCAAUAAAAAGUGUCACAAAGGUGUCACUGAUUUUCAUGCGUCUAUUAACACUGACAAAAUAGACUAUCGUCCUGUCCAUUAUUCCAACGGUUAUUCAUUACUAUUAUUAUUAUUAAUAUUUAAUAUAAAAAUUAUUCCAACAGGUACCCUGUGGUUCCUAUAGCUGUCUCGCACCGUCAGGGCCAAGCGCGGCGCUAAAUUUCAUGAAGUUGGUACACAGUGCCGAGAAACUAGCUGGGUCGAAGUGUAACGUUGCGAAAGGCAAAUUUGGGAAUAUGUACGCAAGAGAACUGAUCGCCGAUCAAAGCAAACGUGCAACGGCAGGCUUAACGACCGGUGAAAACGACACGGUCUGAUAAACGAGGGAAAUAAAAUGAAAUGCAAAAAAUUCAUUUCAGGUGCCGCGACACGCUUCGUUAGGAAAUUAUUGCCACUGUGGUUUCGCGAGACUUCCUCGUGCCUGCUGACAAUUCGACAAACUUCCUGCCUGGUUUUAAUAUGCCCUUUGACGUACCAGGCGUGAUACUUAUAUGACAAACGGAAUUCCUCUUCUAUGUUAUUAUUAAUUAAAGAUCGAUUGUCAUUUUGUAUUGGAUAUUCUCAUCGUGACGCAGAGUCGUGCCUAAAGGAGCUUUGAAAAGAUGCCGACGGUCACGACAUGCCUAAUACCUUCUAACGUUACGUAGGCAUGCCAGUACCUUACUUGUAAUAUUUGUCACAAGUAUUUAGAGUCGUGUACGUGUGCCUUUUCAUUAUUGUAUAUAUAUAUAUACAUUUAUACACACAAAAUACUUUAUAUAUAUAUAUAUAGUAUAUAUAUUUUCAUGCGUCUCCGUGUGUAAAAAUAUAUAUCUGCAUAUAUAUGCAGAUAUGCUUAUGUGUGCAAAGUGUGCCAAGGCCUGUCCCACUCUGCAAUCCCAUUUUCGAAACUAAAAGUAAAAUCUAACUCAUUGUGUCGUUACCAAUGGCGUUACCGUAAUAUAUUUAUGGCACGUUUUAUAAGCGCUUAAAGAAAAGUGCGUCCCAUUGGGGAUCAUAUUUUUACGAAUCUGUCGCAACGGAUCUAGCGGACGAAUUUAACGGUCUUUUACGAAAUUCUAUAUACGACCAAUAGGAAUCGUCGAUAGGGAUAAAGGAGAUAGUGAGCGAGCCAAUCACAGAGCGCAGUUUAUAAGACAGAGGUAUGAGAGUCGAGGUUCGAAGGGAAUUAUUAAAAUAUGUCAAAAUAAGCAGAUAAAGAAAAACAGAAGAUUUCAUCACGCGUCUCCUUCGAGCAUUCUUCCUACGCCAAAAGGUAAGACCUUGAGCGAAAAAUUCGAUAGGGAUCGAUCAGUACUCAUGCAUUAUCCACGACCUUAUCCCAGAAUCGUAACGAGCGACAGUCGCUCCUCCUUCGAUCGGGCAUCGUCGCGUCACGACGAUUUGCCAGCGCCGCCGGCACCUCUGGCGGAUCGUACGAGUACUAGUGACAAUUGACUGUUUAUUAGCAAAUGUCGAGUCCGGGAGAGAAAAUUCGUGGAGUAAACGUUUAAACCUGAAAUUGCGUCUACGAGUUUGUUCGUGUAGUAACAUUGGAGAUUUCCUUUAGCGACAGUCGAGACCUUCGAGAUACUCGGGUGAUAUCUAGUCGUUCCGUUAGAAAUCGGCUUUUAUCACAACAAUGAUUCUCGUCUCUACGUAAGAGACAAAUGCAUGCGACGUUAACCUCUAAAAAUAGUAAAACCAAUCUCUUAAUUUCCAUAGGGAAUUCGGAAUAACCCUCCCCGCUCCCGCCCCCUGACGUCUGUACGUAGAAAUAGUCGACCAAGAAAUGGCUUCUCGGUAGCGUCCGGUUUUAUUCGCGAAACGCGAACCGCCGUUUUGCAGCCCAGUUCGCACGUCCUUGACACAGUUACCCACAUGGGGCUACCAGCAGGCGUCGCUGUGUUUGCCAGCGUCGCGACGGCGCACAUAGUAUCACCUGAGUGUGUUGGUUACGACACGGGGCACGAUGCUGAACCGCGAUGAGACAGUCUACUUUUUUGAUCGAUGCGCAAAUAAGACAAGAGAUUCAAGACGGACGUAGAAGUCCGUCGAAGAUUUUUCUUUUUCCUACGAAGAGUACCGGAUAUCGAGGGUACCGAGAGUGAGACAAAAAAAUGUAAGGAAAAUAUUUAAGAGAGAGUGCGACUUGAGUAUCCCAAUUAUACAGCCUGUUGCGUGUCCGCCCGAAGCACGCCAUACCCUUAAGUGGACGUGGUGCCAUCUACAGAGAGAAGCCGGGGGGUUUAUACGAGGUACGGAGUGUGGCGUUUACAGUGGGUAUAAUAAGGUACGUCGCUGGAAAGGGCGAGUCGUAAAUUAAGGGUGGGUGUAAAUAUUUUGAAAGCGUUUUCAAAAUUGGCUUAACGAAUUACGUGCAAUUCGUAACGGUAAUUCCUAGUGACCCAGUGACCCUGAGUUACCACCGUCCUUUAGAAAAGAGCCCUUGUCUAAUAUCCCUCUCUCUUCAUCUCUUUUUUCAUCUCGCAGAAGAAGCGCUUACGAAAACGGGCAGGAACUUUCUUAUUUUAUGGUUGACAAUUGUCCCGAAGUGGACACAUGCCAGCCAUGAAGUUACAAAACGGCGUACACCAAGUAGCCACGGCAGAGGACGGAUAGCUCCGCGCCCUCGGACGGUAAAACCAGUUAUUGAGGCUGUAAAGCCAAAAUUUAUUCGUCCGCAGGAGUAUCGUCCGAGAAGAAGAAGUAAGAAAGAGAGAAAAAGGAGAAAGGAUAGGAUUCAGGCUCAAAUCCAUUUCACCUUCGCCCUAAUAAAACAGGCACGCAUCCACCGAGACGUAAUCUGACGGAAUCCACGGUAAAGAAACAACCCGACUCGAAAUGAAGAUUGCUCUGACAAUUCCAAAAAAAAAAAAACAACCAACAUGGCAACACGCAGAGCGACUACCAGUAACUACCUAAUAACCAUUACGAUUGAAACAAGCACUCGUCGAAGGUCGCACAUGUGAGUCGAGAUCUCGCACGCCAUUACGACUAGGUACGGGGACUAGUAAUAAGGAGGGCAUAAUGGGAGCCAUAACAAUUCCAAGCAGCCCGGACGAAAGCCUGUCAGGUAUAGGAGUCUCGAGCAAGGACUAGGUCGCACUGGGAAUAUUUUCAACUUACAGCUACCGAAAGCCAUCCGGGGCUUGUUACAUUGUCCACGAUAAAGCCGAAGGCAUUUUAAUUCAUUAAAAUCAGCCAGGAGGAGCCACCGCGAAAGAAAAACAAAGGCGCAACGUGGUAAAUCCAAAUGCACCUCAAUAGCGUCCCACGCGUUCAUAACCUACAAAUAAAUUUACAAAGUGAACCUGCGUCUCCGUUACAGUCCAUAUAUAUAUAUAUACAUACAUACAGGAUGUCAAAGCAGGUUUUCCUUACGACAAGCCAGUACAGCAAAGACACAGCCAAGCAAUGGUAAGCGACCGCAAGUGGGAGAAAGUCUUUCACGUGUAGCCAAGAAGCGAGGAGGCGCGAAAAGUGACGCGGCAACUCUUACUUUCUUCCCGUGCGUUCCUUUCGUUGGCAAUGGAACUAGUUACGUCUGUUACGUUAUGCGGUUACGAGAGGUACGAGGGAGGAGGAGCUACUACCUCGAGAGCCCCGUGAAGUAAGCCACUCUCAUCGACUCUCCUUUCUCCGUCGGCACUGUUACGGAACAGCGGCCCUCUCUCUUUCUCUUUCCCGUACUUUCAUCCCGGCCGUCCACGUAAUGACCAAGCCGAGUAGGUACGCCGUCGAGCUCCAAUUAUCCUUACUCCUCUAUCUCGUUACGUGUACUACUUACCUCUCUCUCGCUCUUUCUGAGAUACCAACAAGAAAUCUACCUGGCAACUCCCUCGAGACAAAGAAUACCCAACGAUGUUACUACACGCACCACUGACUCCGCGUAUAUAUUUCCACUUGAACACGUGUCCGGCCUUAACGUCUGUGCGUAUAUAUAUAUAUAUAUAUAUGCUUAUGUACGGCCGCACGCAAUAAUAAUUAUCCACAAAGGGGAACGACGGAUAUAUAUAUAUAUAUAUAUAUAUGCUAGAGCGUGCAAUGCACUUGCUGGUAAUUGCUUUCGUUUCGGCACGACGCAUCGCCAUUGCGAUUGUCUUGAAAAAAGAAAUAUAUAUACAUAUAUAGUAUAUCGACCGGAUAAGGGUCGAUGGUUACUCAUUAGACGCUCUUACGUGGCAAGAUAAGCGAUAAGCGUUCUGUGACAAGAGUUAGACAGUGACAGUAUCCGUGAAGUAUACGUUAAAAAGAAAUUAUAAAACGAACCGACAGAUGGCGCUUCUGUCGAAAGAAAAAAAUAAAUAAAAUUAGCAUCGAUACAUUUUUACGUAGAUACAGAAGGUGAUCGGGUUGAGAUAAGAGUCGCUGAUAACGAGGUCAGGAUCGUCAUUGGGAAUGAUCGUUAAAAACAGGAAGCCGUAUGUCUGCCGCUUAUAGAGCCGUCGCGGGUAGCCAUCGUUUGGCGAAGAAGAAUAAUCGGGUCAAGUUGAAGGGAUGGCGGCUGAGUUGAACGCCGGAGGCUCGAGUUUGACGUUUCUCUUGUUGGGGUCAAAGGGUGCGAUUAAGGGGACGAAGGGGACGACUGAAAGAUAGGAGAAAGAGGCUACGAAGGGUUCUCCGAGGUUAGUUGAUUUAACGUAGGGUUAAAGCGGGACUGAUCCUCGGAUGCUGAGGAUCCCGCUGUACCCGUGGGCCAAGACUUUGAGGAAGUCUUUCCUGAAUCUUCCUACCGGCAUAAUUAUAUAGCCGAUGACGAGCUUUAUCAGUUGCGAUAACGUGCGCGAUAACGAAUGUAGGUCAGUUUGAUAUGACUGACCUGAUUCUUUGCUGGCUCCGCGUUACAGCGUUCUCAGUUCGCAUGCGUAACUACCUAUGUAUACCUCUGGCUUUGGCUAUGAUAUAUAUAUAUAUAUAUAUAUAUAUAUAUUGACACAUUUGUUAUAUAUAAUGCAUAGACCGUGUACAUAAUGCAAUAUGUAUGCAAGAGUCGUCAUAUAGAUAUACAGUUAUCAUUGCGCCAAGUUGAAAUUGUGUAUUGCCAUGUUUAUUUUCGCUAUAUAUAUAUAUAUAUACAUACAUAUAUAUACCAUACGUCCAAUUACGUAAUGACUAGAGCGCACGUCGCUCGUACGAUACGCGAUCGCGAUCCUUGUCAUUCCGGAAGAAGUAUCGGACGCUCGAAGCGAUAGCUGAGGUCUUUUCGCGGGUCGCCGCUAUCGAUAAGAUUGCUUAGAGCGAUAUCAGUGCUUGAAUAUAAAUGUCAGAAUGCGAUUGGA
Long non-coding RNA from Cephus cinctus (wheat stem sawfly), 7728 nucleotides. RefSeq lists it as uncharacterized. The transcript is spliced from 3 exons. The record is from RefSeq and is a predicted model, not a curated record. Lineage: Eukaryota; Metazoa; Arthropoda; Insecta; Hymenoptera; Cephidae.